AUUGAACGCUGGCGGCAUGCCUUACACAUGCAAGUCGAACGGCAGCACGGGUGCUUGCACCUGGUGGCGAGUGGCGAACGGGUGAGUAAUACAUCGGAACGUACCUUAUCGUGGGGGAUAACGCAGCGAAAGCUGUGCUAAUACCGCAUAAGCCCUGAGGGGGAAAGCGGGGGAUCGCAAGACCUCCGGCGAUUACAGUGGCCGAUGCCUGAUUAGCUUGUUGGUUGGGAAAAAGCCCACCAAGGCGACGAUCAGUAGGUGGUCUGAGAGGACGAUCAGCCGCACUGUGACGGAGACACGGCCCAGGCUCAUACGGGAGGCAGCAGGUGGGAAUUUUGGACAAUGGGGUCAACCCUGAUCCAGCAAUGCCGCGUGAGUGAAGAAGGCCUUCGGGUUGUAAAGCUCUUUUUUCAGGGAAGAAACACCGGCUCUAACACAGUCCGGGAAUGACGGUACCCGAAGAAUAAGCACCGGCUAACUACGUGCCAGCAGCCGCGGUAA
RNAcentral lists this ribosomal RNA (501 nucleotides) under uncultured bacterium. RNAcentral describes it as "partial 16S ribosomal RNA". It matches the Rfam family "Bacterial small subunit ribosomal RNA", at positions 30 to 523 of the family's 1533-position model. The record is from RNAcentral.